Neomonachus schauinslandi (Hawaiian monk seal) is the source of this 839-nucleotide long non-coding RNA. RefSeq lists it as uncharacterized. The transcript is spliced from 3 exons. The record is from RefSeq and is a predicted model, not a curated record. NCBI's taxonomy places the organism in Eukaryota, Metazoa, Chordata, Mammalia, Carnivora, Phocidae.
CCCACCACCUGUCUCUUCCCACUGGAGGCUCCCCAACCUUCACAUCUCUCUCUCUCUUGCAGCUCUCUUCCUCCUGCUGCUCCCAUUCCUGCAUGGAAGGCUCCAUCUCUCCAGAGAGGUGCUGCCAGACCUGGGACAAGUUCAUUGUCAUCCCCAUGGACCCCCAGAAGUCCGAGGCUGAGGACUGCAGGACAUACACCCAGGAAACCCUAAGAGCUCUGCUCUCCACAGACAGACAUGUGCUACCAGAUGGGGAUGGGGGAUCUGUGUCCCAGCUUCCCCCUGUGUGACCUUGGACAAGUGUCCUGCCCUCUCUGGGCCCAGUUUACCUGUCACCAGGUGAAGGGAAUGCAGAAGAACUUCUCAUCCAGACAGAGGCGGGCUGGGGCUUUCGUGGUCCCUUCCCACAGCCCCCAGAGUGACAAGUCUGGAGAGGAGUGUCCUUUCUGUUUGCAAGUCAACAGGACAGCCCUUCUUGUGUUCUACCCUCUUCCGAGCCCUUCCCCUCCCCCGACCACGUCCCAGAUUCCCAUGCGUGUGAUGGGAAGUCCCCUGGGUGUCCCGCAAGAAUGUCUGACUCCACAUGUAUGCAGGAAUGGGUGUGUGGGCAAAGCGGAGAGGCUCAUCUGGUUGUGGAAGUCAUGAUCAAGUGGAAAUCACCCAACGGCAACCAUCCAGCAGCUGGGCCACCUGCUGCCCCUUCAAGGGUCUCACAGGGGUAUUUCAAAAUCAAGGUGUCUGGGUUUCUCUUCUCUACAUGUUACAGAGUAAAAUGAAAAUCUGUGGGGGGCGCCUGAGUGGCUCAGUCGUUAAGCAUCUGCCUUUGGCUCAGGUCAUGA